RNAcentral lists this ribosomal RNA (665 nucleotides) under Pristimantis onorei. RNAcentral describes it as "partial large subunit ribosomal RNA". It matches the Rfam family "Bacterial large subunit ribosomal RNA", at positions 1713 to 2592 of the family's 2925-position model. The record is from RNAcentral. Lineage: Eukaryota; Metazoa; Chordata; Amphibia; Anura; Strabomantidae.
CUCUAGAAAACUCUACUCCAACAGCUGUUAGCCUAAUACCAGAACAUUUCAAGAAAGAUUAAAAGAAAGAGAAGGAAUUCGGCAAACAUUAGCCCCGCCUGUUUACCAAAAACACCGCCUCUUGCUUAUAUAAGAGGUCCAGCCUGCCCAGUGACUUCUGUUCAACGGCCGCGGUAUCCUAACCGUGCAAAGGUAGCGUAAUCACUUGUCUUCUAAAUAAAGACUAGUAUGAAAGGCAUCACGAGGACUAAACUGUCUCCUCUCCCUAAUCAGUGAACCCAAUAACCCCGUGAAGAAGCGGGGGUAUUUAUAUAAGACGAGAAGACCCUAUGGAGCUUAAAACAUCAUAACACCUGCCACCCCACCUAUUAACCCCGGUUUUCAUCCCCGUGGCUCCCUGAUUAUAUGUUUUUGGUUGGGGCGACCGCGGAGAAAAAUCUAUCCUCCACAAUGAAGGGGACCUCCCUAAACAGUAAGCUACAACUUUAUGUAUCAGCAAACUGACAUCCAUUGACCCAAUAUAUUUGAUUAACGAACCAAGUUACCCUAGGGAUAACAGCGCAAUCCACUUUGAGAGCCCCUAUCGACAAGUGGGCUUACGACCUCGAUGUUGGAUCGGGGUAUCCUAGUGGUGCAGCCCUACAAAGGUCGUUUGUCACGAUAAA